UCGGGUAUAGCAUAAAGGUAGUGCAGCACAACGCUUCUACUCUGAGUACGAACGGGGGUGCGCGUCGGGGUUCGAUUCCCCGUACUCGAU
This is a non-coding RNA of Coprinopsis cinerea okayama7#130, 90 nucleotides long. Lineage: Eukaryota; Fungi; Basidiomycota; Agaricomycetes; Agaricales; Psathyrellaceae. The record is from the annotation of a RefSeq genome assembly.